CCAUUGGAAAAAUGUAGUACCUAGGGCGGGUCCAUAGUCCUUCACUGCUUCCCUUGGAUAGGGGAGGGAGGUCCCUCGGCUCAUUGUACUUCCUGGAUGAAGCAAUGCCCCACCCUGCUUCUGCUAGCUCACUGUGGGUUGCACCCACCGCCUAACCAGUUCCAUUGAGAUGAACUGGGUAUGUCAGUUGGAAAUGCAGAAACCACCCACCUUCUCUGUUGGUCUCGCUGGGUGCUGCAAACCAGAGCCGUUUCUAUUCAGCCAUCUUGGCCCUUCCUCCCAUCUGUAUAUCUUAAUUUUACCUUUCUUUUUGAAAGCUAACUUGGGAGAAUAUAGAAUUCUAGGCAAAAUUGUUGAGCCAAGGUCCUGGAACUGUGAGUAAGAAAAUGACAAACCCAUCUCUCAGUGGCACCCCUACUGCAGGAGUUGAGCACUCAUUAGAGAAGGGUAGACUGGGAAGACCCUGCCUAAGAAUCUGAUUUAACCUGUGGUGCAGAAAAGCACUAAUUUUGAUGUUGGGAGGAUUUUGUGCACCCAGCAAGGAGCAGAGCACUCUGCUGACUGCCGUAAUAUAGGUAACAGACCUUAUUUGGUGCAUGUGUCACUAGGCCGCCCAUGUGAUGAGAAAGAUAUGAUGCCAUAGAGAACUGAUCUACUCUAAAUAAUAAAGCCCUGAAAACCAUCAUUCUACUCUUGAUAGAUAACUAGAUAAAAGAAAAUAUGGUAUAUACACACAAUGACAUAGCAUUCAACCUUUAAAAGAAGAAAAUCUUGCCAUAGACAACACUAUGGAUAAACGGAAGGAUAUUAGGCUGAGUGAAAUAAGCCAAUCAGAGGAGAGCAGCAGGAAAUGGACCUGAAUAUCCUCUUAGCAGCCAUGACUGGAUGCCAAAUGGGACAAAGAAGAACUUUGAAUAUGACAUCACACUACCUCCUGCACUGUGGUUCCUGAUAAGAAAUCAGCCAUUCAUCUUACUGAGACUCCUUUAGGAUUGGUGCCCUCAUAAGAAGAGAAAGACACACCAAAGCACUUCCUUUGAUGUGAAGAUACAGUGAUAAGGUAGCACUUUCCAGGGUGUCUGCUGUGUUUCUGAUCCAGGGAGGCACCCGCUGCUGCUCCUGAUGGGCUAGAGGCUCGCCAUUGUUCCUGCUAGGCUAAGUGCCUGGGUUCGUCCUAAUCGAGCUCAACACUAGUUGCUGGGUUCCACGGCUCUCUUCCAUGACCCGCGGCUUCAAAUAGAGCUAGAACACUCACCGCAUGGCCGACGGUUCCAUUCCUUGGAAUCCAUGAGGCCAAGAACCCCAGGUCAGAGACCAAAGGCUUGCCGCCAUCUUGGGAGCAGCCUGCCACCAUCCUGGGAGCUCCAAGAACAAAGAUCCACCUGUAACAAUAAGAUUUAUUGUCCAGAAGAAGAAUGUCACAAGGUCGAUUGAUCAGGAUCUUACUGUUACCCAGGAUGAAGUACUGUGGCAUGAUCACAGCUCCCUGAAGCCUCAACCUCUCCAAGCUCAGGUGAUUUCUUCCACCUCAGCCUCCAAAGUAGCUGGGACUACAGGCAUGCGCCACUACACCCAGCUAAUUUUUUUGUGUGUUUUGGAGAGAUAGGGUUUCAUCAUGUUGCCCAGGCUGGUCUGAAACUCCUGGACUCAAGCAAUCUACCCACCUGGGCCUCCCAAAGUGCUAGGAUUACAGGCAUGAGCCACUACGCCCAGCAAGGUAUUUUCUGAAAAGGUGGAUUGCUGCUUCAAAGGACCUGGACCCAGAGGCCCUGUCCAUGAAUGUUUCUUGCUUGGUUCCGAGGCCACCAAACAUACUGGCUGAGCCUUCUGUAUUCACCCUGGCCUAUCAAUGCCAUCUAUGAGAGCAGCCACACUGAGAGAGCAGCAGCAUGGAGCCUACUCAAGGGUUUGUUUCAAAAAUAUAUGGAAAACAAGAAAAACCAAAAGAGGAAACCAUUUCUAAUGAGGAGACUAGUUCAAUUAUUCUGAAGUCAAGCCCUGCUAAUCAAGGAGUUGGACCGACUGUGACAUUUGGGGAAGCCCCACAGAACAGCAAGAAAGACUGGCCAAAUUUGCAGUGCGGAGGUCCAGGAAAGAGCCUGGAUAGUGAGCAGGUUGUUUGCUGCCGACCCUAAAGAUGCAGGAAUCCAGCCAUGACCAUGCAGUUUUGGCCACACAAAUACCUUUGUUCAGAGAGGUUUUCAGCUGAGGUGACAUUUCUGCAAACAAAGUAGACUUGGCUUCCCUGGAAAGUGAUGGAACCAUUGAAAAGCCAGAAAAAUAAAGAGUUUUAAUGGAGUAAAAAUUACAAAUGCCACAUGGCAUAUGGGAUACAUUGUGAAGAAGUAAUCAUGAGACUAGAAGCCAUAGAUUUAAUAAGACUCGAUUCUCACCACAUGUACAAACAGAAUUAGGAAUAAAUCGCAUACAAUGAUCCCGGUAGAAGACACAAAACUUCCACGUCAGAGACAAAGGAUUUCAUUACUCAUGGCAAAAGCAGGAAUCAGAGCUUCACAUUUGCUGGUGUCAAUUUCUCAUACCCUCAAAUCCCAGAAGCAUGACACAAAAGAGUCCAUGAUGGAUGUCUGAAUACACAGUGGGCUGUGUUAGAAGAGAGUAACACUGAGCUCAGGUGAUCUCUGCUUCUGUAGUAAGCUUGCACUUUGUCUCGGGGGAGACAUUCCCUCAUCACUCAAGACUGUUCCCUGCAAACACAACCUUGAAUAAUGGCCCAGAAGAGUGGUGAGAGUUCUAAAUUCCUGGCACUUCCAGCAAGUAUGCUCAGGAACACCAGGGCCCAAAGUGGAUUGCCUCUUCCUAAAAAUAUGUUUAUGACUGAAGCCCUUUCCUUUAAAAUGUUAGGUGAAUAUGGAUCUUUUAUUUGCUGUCCUAUUUCAUUUUCAAUAAUUCUGAGUAUGACUCACCAAAAUGAUUUCACAAAAUAAUCUGUAGUAACCUUCAAUUUAAACAACAAACAAAUAAAAAAAAUUGCUAUGUUAAGUAUAUAUUUGAGAGUGUAAUUGCAGAAUUACAUUCUUCCUUAACAUACAAUGUGAAUGGUUUUAUAAAGUGAUUUGUCAGUUAUUUAUCAUUUGCUUUUCACAAGCGGUGUAUGAAUAUUCCCCUUGCCAUAUGUCUCCACCACCACUUGGUUUUGUCAGACAUUUAUUGUUUGAUAAUCAAAUACUGCAUAAUUAUAUCUGAUUUGGUUGUAAUUUGCAUUUUACUUAUUAUUAAUGAGGUUUAGCAUUGCCAUAUGUGUAUAAGUCAUUUGUUUUUCAUUGUCUGUUAAAUGUCUGCAUAUGACUUUGGCCCGUUUUAAAAUUGAGAUAUUUCUUUCUUUUAGAUUGAUACAUGAAUUAUUUACAUUUGUGAGUUAUGAAUAUUGUCAAUAACGUCUCACUGUAGAUCAAUUUUUCACUGAAUUUCUGGUAUCAUUUUAUAAAUUAAAUUUAUUUUAAUGUUUCAAGUAUUCUAUUUUAAACUGAUAUUUUAUGGUAUUUGUCAUGUAUAAGAACUCAUUCUAGAUCAUUAGUCAUAAAGAUAUUCAUCUAAAUUUUCUUCAAAACUGUUAAAUGUCUUUAACAUUUAAGUCCUAAAUACAUCUGAACUGGUCCAAUAAUCCAAAUGAAUCAAAUAUCUAAGAAAAACUGUAACAAAGGAAGAGACAAAUCUAUAGAGAGUACAUUAUAAAACAUUCUUGAGGGAGAAUCAAUAUGAACCUAAAUUAAUAGAAAACUAUUUAUGGAGGGAAAGACAGUAUGUAAAGAAGCAAAUUAUCUUCAAUUCAUCUGUAAAUUUACUGCAAUCUCAAUAAAAAGUCAAGUAGAAGCUUUUUUGUUGAAAUUGAUAAGCCAAUAAUAAAUUGUAAAUAUUCAAAGAUCUAAUGAUAGCUAAUGCAAUAUUGAAGAUAAACUGAAAUUUUGGAGAAUCAAGACUUAUUUGAGGAUUGCAGUAAUGAAGACAGUGAUUAAUUGUGCAAGAAUAGACAAACCAUCCAAGAAAACAAAAUAGAGAGCUGAAAAGCAGACCCAGGCUUAUAUUGAUCAGUGAUAUAGGUGGCAUAACAGGAGGGUGACAAAAAGACAGUUAUUUCCAUAAAUUGUACUUCAUCAAUUGUAUAUCUGAGAGAGAGAGAAAGAGAGAGAAAUUGUUUUUAUUCAUAGUAUAAUAUAUAAUUGCUUCUAUUCAUAGAGAGAAAGACAGAGAGAUAACUGUUUCUAUUCAUAGUAUAAGCAUCUUAAUUUCAGGUGGUUUUUAGAUUUUUAUGUGAAAGUUAAAAAUAGUAAAUCCUAAGAGAGGAUAAUAUAGAGGACGUUUUCACCACAUGGGGUAUAUAAAGAUUAAUAAAACUGGACACAAAGUCUCUGAUUAUAAAAAAAAUUGACAAAUAUUUUGACUGUAAGAGAUUAUAUUAAUAAAUACACAAUACAAUUUUAAGAGAAAUGAAAUGAGAAAUGAAAAGAGCAGCAGUAGAGUGGGAUGUCAAAGUACAUAUGACUGACAAAAAAUUACAAAAUCAAGACUAAAAUGGCAUACCACUAGAGCAGCUAUAAAUACAAAGAGUAAAAAUGCUCUUCUGUUUGGAGGACGUGAAGCAUGUUCUUGGGCACUGAUUACGUGAGUAGGUAGCUUUUCCUGAUUAUAUCCUCUGCAGAGUUUUCAUAGUGUAUCAUGUCUAGAUCACAACUGGAAAGAUCUAUGGCAAAUUCAUCAUCUGUCAAUGAGCGCAACCAAUAUUUGUUACAAUUUUACCAUGUUUAAUUGUGAAAGAGUUCUUAGAGCAUCAAAACACAUAUCCAGAAAUACUAUCCUCAAGUACCAGGCAAUAUUUAUUUUUUUUCAGUUACUUUUCUGCCCUAUAUUUAUCACUAAGCUCAUAUGAACUUUUAAUUUUUUAAAAAAACCUUUAGGUGUCUGUUUUACUCAUUCCAGAGAGAAGGAACUUAUUGGCACAUGACUGAUUUAUUAAAUACACUCAAUAAAAGUUGGCAUUUUUACAGUCAGCAAGCUCAAUAAAGUUCACAAAUAAAUCUUCUAUAGUUCUCAUAUUUACAUAUUUCUCAUAUUACUCUUUACCUAGGUAUCUAUCAACUUUGAAAGAUCCAAAAAUAGAACAUGAGGGCCAUAAUUGUCUGGAAAUGAGGAGAGGGUAUAUUUCUUUGUGAGAAUUUUUUGUGUAAAUGAGUAAGUUAAGAUGAUAUUAUAAAACCAAUUAUUAUAAAAUUCCUGAGGAUAUCCUCUAUAGCAUGUACUUUGGCAUUGAUUAUCUAUAUGAGUAGGUAGCUUUUCCUGAUUACAUCCUUUAUAAAGUUUUCAUAGCAUAUCAUAGCUAUGAAAAUAUUUUUCAGAAAAAGAUAAACCACACAGGAAUAAAUGAUAAAGUGAAUGAUAACUUUUCAGUUAAAAAAAGAACUAAAUGUACAAUGAAAUUUGGGACUAAAUAAAUGGCACUUCUGCACAAUUCAGAUCUUUUUCCCCCUUAUGCUGAGCCUACUUUGUUGUUUUGCAUAACCUACAACAUGUAGACAUCUCAGUUAGAGACCUCUAUCCCAUACCCUUUUUCCCCAAAAGUUCUUUCCUUUCAUCAGUGAUGGCUGAGUCGAUUCUUAGACUAGUUCCAAUGUAUUCCCUUGAUGUAAUCAUCAGAUCUGUCUCCCCUCAGCACCUUGUUUGGGGAUGCUUCUCAUUCUCUAUGCCUAGGUACAAUUUCAAAUCCAGAGUUGGAGCUGUCAUCUUCAUAAAUUCUCCUUAGAUUAUAGGAGUUCACAAAAUCUUGUCAUUUCUGUGUACUCUUCUCGGUCUUAAGAAAUGUUUCUCCUGGAAUAACCUGUGGUCACCCUCUGAUAGGUAUGUUCUGUUAUUAUGUUUUUGUGUAAAUUUUGUCAAGCUAAUGUAACUGUGAUUUUAUUUCACAUGAUCUAUAGGGCCUUACACAAACCUGAACCUAAUAAAGACAUGUGGGACAUAAUCUCAAAAUGAUAUCACUGAAACUCAUUUCCAACCCAAUUAAACUGUUCUCCUAGGGUUGGUUGACAGUCCAGAAUUAUUAGGCUUCUCAGUGGAGCCAGAACAAUCUGUCCAGUGAUACUUGAUCCGAUCAAGUGUUUUCAUGGGUGGUUUGGAAACCAUGUCUUGCUUUGCAGAUGUUAUUUAUCACAAAGUUGCCCCUAGCCCUUUAAUGUUGAGGAUUUGAUAUUAGUGGAGUUGUGGAAGUGAAAUUAUUAGGGUGUCCUUAAAGUCCUUUUCCAUAAAUGAAUGAUUUAUUGGAGCAAUGAAAGAAAGGAAUAAGUUUGCCUGCUCAAUAUAGCCCGUCAUUUUUGAUGAAUGUGACUCACCUUUCUGUAAGAAGUUCAAUUUAGCACUGGUACCAAUUCUUGAAUUUUAUAGAGAAGGAAAUUGUAAAAUGUCUUAGAAAUGUGGCCACGGAGAGAACAAACUGAGGUUGAAUGAUGCAAAAUCAGAACUACACUGAAUGCAACGUAAUGCCAAUGCUGUUCAAUGCCAAGAGACUUACAGGAUAAAAUUUGGCUUUUUCCUUUUGAAAUAAUAUUAGCUUGCUAUUGAGUAAAAUCAGGUAGCAACACUUCAUAACUCCAUUACCUACCUGUUUUGUAUUCAUUAAAGUGUGGCUUUCUUGGCCUGACUGUCAGUGGUAUGCUGAGAUGGCUUGCCACAGCUCCAGAGUGCAUUGUAUAUAUUUCUUCUUGACUUCACGUUAAGUGACAUUAUGUUGGUAGCUUGGAAUUGGUCAUGAUGAAGCUAUAUAUACCAGGAAAACUGGCACAUGCUGCAAAUGAAGGCUCCUGCUCUUCCAGAGAUCUAACUGUUAAGUAUUUAUCAGCAUACUACUAACCUGUGUUCAAAGGUUGAACUGCAGAAGCCUCU
This 6888-nucleotide long non-coding RNA is filed under the name Homo sapiens (human). RNAcentral's name for it is "HSALNT0213918". Lineage: Eukaryota; Metazoa; Chordata; Mammalia; Primates; Hominidae. The record is from RNAcentral.